This 451-nucleotide ribosomal RNA is filed under the name uncultured organism. Its description in RNAcentral is "partial 16S ribosomal RNA". It matches the Rfam family "Bacterial small subunit ribosomal RNA", at positions 332 to 799 of the family's 1533-position model. The record is from RNAcentral.
UACACUCCUGCGGGAGGCAGCAGUGGGGAAUAUUGGACAAUGGGCGCAAGCCUGAUCCAGCCAUGCCGCGUGAGUGAUGAAGGCCCUAGGGUUGUAAAGCUCUUUCACCGGUGAAGAUAAUGACGGUAACCGGAGAAGAAGCCCCGGCUAACUUCGUGCCAGCAGCCGCGGUAAUACGAAGGGGGCUAGCGUUGUUCGGAUUUACUGGGCGUAAAGCGCACGUAGGCGGACUAUUAAGUCAGGGGUGAAAUCCCGGGGCUCAACCCCGGAACUGCCUUUGAUACUGGUAGUCGUGAGUUCGAGAGAGGUGAGUGGAAUUCCGAGUGUAGAGGUGAAAUUCGUAGAUAUUCGGAGGAACACCAGUGGCGAAGGCGGCUCACUGGCUCGAUACUGACGCUGAGGUGCGAAAGCGUGGGGAGCAAACAGGAUUAGAAACCCUAGUAGUCCCAUG